Molecule: transfer RNA, 67 nt
Filed under: Cucujoidea sp. 28 KM-2017
Lineage: Eukaryota; Metazoa; Arthropoda; Insecta; Coleoptera
Description: tRNA-Ser
Source: RNAcentral
GAAAUGUGAUAAUCAAAUUUAAGCUUCUAACUUAUAAUUUAAGCAGUGCAAUUCUGUUUACAUUUCU